GGAUGUUUUCAUUGAUCAAGAACGAAAGUAAGGGGAUCGAAGACGAUCAGAUACCGUCGUAGUCUUUACUAUAAACKAUGASGACUGGGGAUCGGGSGAGGAAUUACKAUGACCCSCCCGGCACCCUUCGAGAAAUCAAAGUGUUUGCUUUCUGGGGGGAGUAUGGUCGCAAGGCUGAAACUUAAAGGAAUUGACGGAAGGGCAUCACCGGGUGUGGAGCCUGCGGCUUAAUUUGACUCAACACGGGAAAACUUACCAGGUCMGGACAUAGUGAGGAUUGACAGAUUGAGAGCUCUUUCUUGAUUCUAUGGKUGGUGGUGCAUGGCCGUUCUUAGUUGGUGGAGUGAUUUGUCUGGUUAAUUCCGUUAACGARCGAGACCUGGGCGUGCUAACUAGGGGCUACUACCAUUUUGGUAGUACGCUUACCCUUCUUARACGGACUGUGGGCGUCUAGCCCACGGAAGCUCCAGGCAAUAACAGGUCUGAGAUGCCCUUAGAUGUUCUGGGCCGCACGCGUGCUACACUGAGUGGAUCAGCGGGUCAGGUUGCGCGAAAGUGUUUCCUAAUCUUUAAAUCCGCUCGUGAUGGGGAUUGACGGUUGCAAUUUUCCGUCAUGAACGAGGAAUACCUUGUAAGCGCGGGUCAUCAUCCCGCGCUGAAUACGUCCCUGCCCUUUGUACACACCGCCCGUCGCUCCUACCGAUUGAGUGGUCCGGUGAGGCUUUGGGAUCUGGGCGGAAAGAGCGUUUCRCUGUUUCUGCCCGGAAAACUCAGUCGAACCUUAUCAUUUAUAGGAAGGAGAAGUCGUAAC
RNAcentral lists this ribosomal RNA (811 nucleotides) under Dawsoniolithon conicum. Its description in RNAcentral is "SSU rRNA". It matches the Rfam family "Eukaryotic small subunit ribosomal RNA", at positions 973 to 1815 of the family's 1831-position model. Lineage: Eukaryota; Rhodophyta; Florideophyceae; Corallinales; Porolithaceae. The record is from RNAcentral.